This 499-nucleotide ribosomal RNA is filed under the name Veillonella parvula. RNAcentral's name for it is "bacterial SSU rRNA". It matches the Rfam family "Bacterial small subunit ribosomal RNA", at positions 28 to 499 of the family's 1533-position model. The record is from RNAcentral. Lineage: Bacteria; Bacillati; Bacillota; Negativicutes; Veillonellales; Veillonellaceae.
GACGAACGCUGGCGGCGUGCUUAACACAUGCAAGUCGAACGAAGAGCGAUGGAAGCUUGCUUCUAUCAAUCUUAGUGGCGAACGGGUGAGUAACGCGUAAUCAACCUGCCCUUCAGAGGGGGACAACAGUUGGAAACGACUGCUAAUACCGCAUACGAUCUAAUCUCGGCAUCGAGGAUAGAUGAAAGGUGGCCUCUACAUGUAAGCUAUCACUGAAGGAGGGGAUUGCGUCUGAUUAGCUAGUUGGAGGGGUAACGGCCCACCAAGGCGAUGAUCAGUAGCCGGUCCGAGAGGAUGAACGGCCACAUUGGGACUGAGACACGGCCCAGACUCCUACGGGAGGCAGCAGUGGGGAAUCUUCCGCAAUGGACGAAAGUCUGACGGAGCAACGCCGCGUGAGUGAUGACGGCCUUCGGGUUGUAAAGCUCUGUUAAUCGGGACGAAAGGCCUUCUUGCGAAUAGUUAGAAGGAUUGACGGACCGAAUAGAAGCCACGCAUC